This 253-nucleotide ribosomal RNA is filed under the name uncultured bacterium. RNAcentral's name for it is "partial 16S ribosomal RNA". It matches the Rfam family "Bacterial small subunit ribosomal RNA", at positions 524 to 776 of the family's 1533-position model. The record is from RNAcentral.
UACAGAGGGUGCAAGCGUUGUUCGGAAUUACUGGGCGUAAAGCGCGUGUAGGCGGCCAGGUAGGUCUGCUGUGAAAACUCGAGGCUCAACCUCGAGACGUCGGCGGAAACCAUCUGGCUAGAGUCCGGAAGAGGAGAGUGGAAUUCCUGGUGUAGCGGUGAAAUGCGCAGAUAUCAGGAAGAACACCCGUGGCGAAGGCGGCUCUCUGGGACGGUACUGACGCUGAGACGCGAAAGCGUGGGGAGCGAACAGG